AAAUUUGGGAGGGAAUUUCCACUCUACCUCCAAUUUUCCCGUAGAACCCCCUAUAGCCAGCAAAAAGGGUCUGUCCUCUGAGAAGGAAAUGGAAAAGACAGCUCCCUGAUAGCAUAUUAGAAAACAAAUCUUAAAACCCACACACAUGUUUACAUACUCACACACACAUGGCGCACAAAGAGGAAAAAAACACGCCAAAACCUAUUUGGAUUGGACUUGAAGAAUAACAAUGAUGACAUUGUCCAAGUAACUCAAGAAGACUCCCUGACCCAAAAAAUGUUCACAAGAAUAAAUACAAAAUUGAGGGUUCCUUACAGCUUUAGGAUUCCUGGUUGCAACACAGGAAGGUUGGUUAUUUGACAAAUCCCAAAGUUUUACCUGAGGCAAAAUGGAAAAAAGCUCAAUCAAGAGUAUAGAACCAUUUGUGUAAUAUCCAUGCAGGGUAACAAGGUAGAGGCCAACACAAAGAUCAUAGAAGAUUACCAUUUUAUCUGUGGAUCCGGUUGCAAGAAACUGUAGAGAAAAUCAGAAAAGAAAAAUUACAUAAACCAAAUAUAGGAAGCAAGCAUGCAAAUAUUUUUUCUAGGAGUGCCAAGAUGAAUAUAUACAUUAGGUGCCAAGGGAUUGUAGGAGAUUGUGCAAACAGCUUGGUCAUGUGCAUGGAGAGUGAAAGCUGGCUUUGACUCAGAAGCCGAAUCUGACUUAGCAGUACGAACAUCAAAACCUUGA
This 729-nucleotide long non-coding RNA is filed under the name Vitis vinifera (wine grape). Its description in RNAcentral is "long non-coding RNA (VVIN_LNC001183)". Lineage: Eukaryota; Viridiplantae; Streptophyta; Magnoliopsida; Vitales; Vitaceae. The record is from RNAcentral.